This 484-nucleotide ribosomal RNA is filed under the name uncultured bacterium. Its description in RNAcentral is "bacterial SSU rRNA". It matches the Rfam family "Bacterial small subunit ribosomal RNA", at positions 28 to 506 of the family's 1533-position model. The record is from RNAcentral.
GAUGAACGCUAGCGGCAGGCUUAACACAUGCAAGUCGAGGGGCAACACGGGUAGCAAUACCUGGUGGCGACCGGCGCAAGGGUGCGUAACGCGUGAGCAACAUGCCCUAUACAGGGGGAUAAUCCAGGGAAACUUGGUCUAAUAUCCCAUAGUAUUUAGAGGUGGCAUCACCACUAAAUUAAAGCUUCGGUGGUAUAGGAUUGGCUCGCGUGACAUUAGCUGGAUGGUGGGGUAACGGCUCACCAUGGCGAUGAUGUCUAGGGGUUCUGAGAGGAAGACCCCCCACACUGGGACUGAGACACGGCCCAGACUCCUACGGGAGGCAGCAGUGAGGAAUAUUGGACAAUGGAUGGAAAUACUGAUCCAGCCAUGCCGCGUGCAGGAAGACGGCCCUAUGGGUUGUAAACUGCUUUUAUAUGGGAGCAAUAAGGUUUACGCGUAGACCGAUGAGAGUACCAUAUGAAUAAGCAUCGGCUAACUCCGU